UACGGAGGGUGCAAGCGUUAUCCGGAUUCACUGGGUUUAAAGGGUGCGUAGGUGGGCUUGUAAGUCAGUGGUGAAAUCUCCGGGCUUAACCCGGAAACUGCCAUUGAUACUAUAGGUCUUGAAUUAUCUGGAGGUCAGCGGAAUAUGUCAUGUAGCGGUGAAAUGCUUAGAUAUGACAUAGAACACCAAUUGCGAAGGUAGCUGGCUACAGGUAUAUUGACACUGAGGCACGAAAGCGUGGGGAUCAAACAGG
This 253-nucleotide ribosomal RNA is filed under the name uncultured bacterium. RNAcentral describes it as "partial 16S ribosomal RNA". It matches the Rfam family "Bacterial small subunit ribosomal RNA", at positions 524 to 776 of the family's 1533-position model. The record is from RNAcentral.